AAUACCCAAGAACCCAAGACCAAGUCAAAAUACCCAAGAUCUUGGGUAAAUACCCAAGCAGUGGUCACGCUGCUAACAAUAGGGUGUGUUCGAAGAUUUAUGUUUGCACAUAAGCCUGCGGCCGCGCGCAUUAGACCAAAUUUGUACCCCAUGACAUAAUAAACCUACUCGCAUAUAAAAGCUAGGGACUGGGUAAAUAUUUUAAUUGGAAGUGAUUUUAUUAAACUUGACAAUAGAGGGCGUAUUUUACAUUUUUAUGUAAGUAGGUCUCCUGAACAAUGGAAUCCAUAUUUUGACAAGUUGGGCAUAUUUUUUACAGAUAUCUGAAUAAUAUUUAGUGGGAUAAUUUUAUAUAAUAUUAUGUAGCAGGUCUUUGUAGCUGUCAUUAUAUAACUGAUAAGCGAUCAAGACCAAUCAAUCAUUGAAAUAUGUUACCAUGGCAAUGCAACACAACAUGAAAUCUAUAAUCCGCUUCUCGUUGGAUUUCUUUAUUUAAGUUAUAAGUUGUUAGUUCUAAUCUAGCAAAUGUCAAACAUGUUACGUUAUUGGAGAUUAGAUUUAAGCAAAGGAUGCCAACGACAAAUAAUUAAUACCAACAUAAUCUCUGUCACUACGAUAUACAGCCUAUGACAAAUACUAUGUGCGCUCUAAAAAAAAAAAGCCCAACUUAAAAAAUAAUAUAAUUAAUGCGCGCAUCGAAAAUUUGUAGCUUAUUUACUUAUCACCAAAGUAUAAUUCAGUCCCUGGUGGGAUUUCAACUCUAGUAAUUGCUUCAUGUUUAUUCUACAACCUCGUGGAAAACAGUUUAUGUGCGAAGACAAUCGAAGUUCUCCAUGAUCGAAGCACUCACAUGGUCCGAUUUCAACCAUUUACAUAUAUCGGAGAUGAAAGAGAUAGAAAUGUUUACUUUCUUCUCCUGUUGCUAACGUCAGGUAUCGAAGUGUUAUCUCGUCGAUUACGGGUACAAAUUUCAAUCCUGGCAGCCUACAGAUUGGUCACUAUUAUCACGGCAGAUAAGAGUUAAAAAUGAUAUCCAUUUAUCACGGCUCCCACAUCGGCCUAUAUUGCGUCGUCCAAUAUUUAAUGUUUGCAAUAUUUUUCUUGGCGAUUAUCUGCUGUAUGACAGCAAAAAAUAUCACAUGAUAUCAUUUCGACGAAGGAUCCCGUGACGCCGGUUGUAAGCACAAGACUUAGGACAGGACACUUAGGACGGGGGAGGGGGAGAUUCCCCCGACGGGGGAGGUGAGAUUCCCCGACGAGGGGUCAGAUUUCCAAUGUGGGCGUGGUCGAGCUUCGAUUAAAAGUGUGGUGGAUAUUUUCUAUCAUUCGACUACACCCUCCCCUGAUUUUGCGUCCUCUAAAGCCGAAGGCACACUCUCGAUAUCUGAAGAGAAAGAAGACAAGUCCAUUUGUGCUUCACCUAAUUGUGAUUGUUUUGCAAAUUCAGUGACUAUAAUAUUCUCAAUUACCAGCAAGACAAAUUGGCUGAUAAGUCCACUAGCGACCCAUCCAAACCCACACUCGCUGGAUAGGACAUGGAUAAGGAACAGAAAUUAAGAACGCAACAAGGAUGGAAAAUCAACAAAAUCGUCGAGAAUAAAACGGAAUACCCAGAGUGAAGAUUGAUAUACCACCGGUCCACACCACUUGCAUAUAAGUUGCGCAAUAAA
This is a long non-coding RNA of Anneissia japonica, 1670 nucleotides long. RefSeq lists it as uncharacterized. NCBI's taxonomy places the organism in Eukaryota, Metazoa, Echinodermata, Crinoidea, Comatulida, Comatulidae. The transcript has 3 exons. The record is from RefSeq and is a predicted model, not a curated record.